Long non-coding RNA from Scophthalmus maximus (turbot), 1093 nucleotides. RefSeq lists it as uncharacterized. The record is from RefSeq and is a predicted model, not a curated record. The transcript has 4 exons. NCBI's taxonomy places the organism in Eukaryota, Metazoa, Chordata, Actinopteri, Pleuronectiformes, Scophthalmidae.
AGAAUCGACGGGACGGCCUCCAAAUCCCUGGCAACAACGCCAUUCGCUGAGGGCGCGAAUCCACUGUGAGGGAUUUGAUUGGGUCGAAAGCCUUUUCACCUACGAAUCCCUCCGCUGAGAGUCAAACGGGGACGAAACAGGCCGUUCAACAGCUAAACGUGACGAGUAGCCUUUGUGCUAGCUAGCGGGAGCGGAUUCGUGGCUCAAAACACAAGUUGUCGCGACAAAACAUCCAAGAAUGUAGGAAAUGUCAUUUCCUGUGUUUCUGUGAGGAGUCUUGGAUGAUGGCCCAAAACCCCAGAACGCUAAAGCGACGGUCAAGUCCCGUGUGGAUCCUUGGAGCAUUGAGGGUGUUUGUCGGGAGUGCCGCCCAGCACUGGCACCUUGGCGGCCGGGCUGGGACUGGAGCUGUCCCCUCCUCUUCCCACCUCGAUGGCAGGACCCAGCGCAGGCCUCACCACCCCGACGCCGGACAGGACUCCCACGCCAGCACCGGGCCCAGUCGCCGCACCAAGCAGGUUGGCGGACUGCAGCACCGCCUCCGAGUGUUCGCGAGCCUUCAUGCGCAGGGCGGCCACACUGGCGGUGCGGUUGCCCUGACAACCGUAGGGCGGCAGGAAGGACAGACCCAUGGGGUCAGAAACGCAGCAGGAGCACAAGCCGUUACCUGAAAAAAACAAAACAGCAAAAAUGUGGCGACCUGUGAGAGCGCCUGGGCGUACGUGGCAGAAUUGAGCAGGGUCCCUGGUAAACAAGAUGGGAAGAAGGGACCACCAGGACCCACCGUCCUGUUGAUGCUGGGGAGAGCACAAGAUCAGGAUCCAAUAAUCCAGUGUAAAGUAUGACAUUUAUAUUUUUACAAAAAAUCAAAAUAUACUGCACACUGUGGAGGUAGUUUCCCUGUGACUUUGAUUGUUUGAUUAUCCGUCUGACUGAAAGAGUGACCACCCUGUAAUCUACAGAAAUGACCCAGAACUAUAUGUUUUGGCAGUCAUUAACGGAAAGAAUCUAAAUUUGACUUUCAUCAUUCAAAUCUGUAAACAGCAACCUCUCUGUCACCUGUCAAUGAGAUAUUGUUUCAUAAACAAUAAUA